UAGGGAAUCUUCCACAAUGGACGAAAGUCUGAUGGAGCAACGCCGCGUGAGUGAAGAAGGGUUUCGGCUCGUAAAGCUCUGUUGGUAGUAAAGAAAGAUAGAGGUAGUAACUGGCCUUUAUUUGACGGUAAUUACUUAGAAAGUCACGGCUAACUACGUGCC
RNAcentral lists this ribosomal RNA (162 nucleotides) under uncultured bacterium. RNAcentral's name for it is "partial 16S ribosomal RNA". It matches the Rfam family "Bacterial small subunit ribosomal RNA", at positions 355 to 509 of the family's 1533-position model. The record is from RNAcentral.